AACGAACGCUGGCGGCAUGCCUAACACAUGCAAGUCGAACGAGACCUUCGGGUCUAGUGGCGCACGGGUGCGUAACGCGUGGGAACCUGCCCUUAGGUUCGGAAUAACUCCCCGAAAGGGGUGCUAAUACCGGAUAAUGUCUUCGGACCAAAGAUUUAUCGCCUUUGGAUGGGCCCGCGUUGGAUUAGCUAGUUGGUAGGGUAAAAGCCUACCAAGGCGACGAUCCAUAGCUGGUAUGAGAGGAUGAUCAGCCACACUGGGACUGAGACACGGCACAGACUCCUACGGGAGGCAGGAGUGGGGAAUAUUGGACAGUGGGCGAAAGGCUGAUCCAGCAAUGACGGGUGAGUGAUGAAGGCCUUAGGGUUGUAAAGCUCUUUUACCCGGGAUGAUAAUGACAGUACCGGGAGAAUAAGCUCCGGCUAACUCCGUG
This 433-nucleotide ribosomal RNA is filed under the name uncultured bacterium. RNAcentral's name for it is "partial 16S ribosomal RNA". It matches the Rfam family "Bacterial small subunit ribosomal RNA", at positions 29 to 507 of the family's 1533-position model. The record is from RNAcentral.